RNAcentral lists this unclassified non-coding RNA (1374 nucleotides) under Leishmania donovani. RNAcentral's name for it is "gene:unknown". Lineage: Eukaryota; Euglenozoa; Kinetoplastea; Trypanosomatida; Trypanosomatidae. The record is from RNAcentral.
CGCCAGCAUGCGCGCAAGGCGAUCCCUCUCUCCCUUUUCUCUCUCUUUCCACGCUACGGCAGCGACAUUUUGCCGCUCUACCGCUCUUUCCUUUUCGGCCCCACUCCUGUGUGACGCAUGCAUCAUCGGUGGCCAUCACGACGUGCCGCAUCGCCCCCCCUCGCUCUCUUUGAAAGGCUGUUUCUCUGGCGCUCCGGGCUGGGGGCCUCGUCGCGACAGUAUUCGGCGACCCAACACGUUUUCCCCUCUUUGUUUUCUGUCUUGCAGCGCACAUAUCGGCAUGUAGCUCAUGCCCAGCCUCAUGUGUCUGUCUUUCCCCUGCAGAGGUCUUGUGUGCACGUGUGCCAAUGCGUGUGUGUUUGGAUCGCUCUCGAUCGUGCCGUGCAUGCUGUUGUGUAGUCGAUGAGACAAGAGCUGCCAUGCACACCACAGAGAGACAUGCCCGCACACGCAUCUGGCUCAGAUAAGCUUUCUAAUGAUGUGGAGGAGGAAGAGGUAAGCGGAGCGGAGGCGGUGCUUGUGGCAUCGCUCAUUCGCGUAUUCACCAUCUGAGUGCGCGCGGUUGUCUGCUUGUGCGUGUCUCUGUCUGUGUGCCACUCGCUCCGGUGUACCGCUCGAUCUUCCCCUCCUCUCUCUCUCCCGCGUUCUCGGUCUUGGCGAUUGCUGCAACGCAUACCUUUUCCCUUCCGCCUCCCUCGAUAGAGCGGGCGGAGAAAGAAGCGGCAACGAACAGAAAGGACUGUCGAUGUUUCAUGCGCCAUUUUUUUUGUUUGUGCGCUUCCACCACCACCACCUGCUCCUCCGCCGCACGCGCUCACGCUCUCCCUCGCUUUGGCCCCAUCUCUCCCGUGAUUCACUGGGGUGGCGGUGCUGCGUUCAGACAGAGCCGUCCACCCACCCACAGUUGUGCGCCCUUCCAUCCAUUGUAGGGGUGGGCACGCCUCCGUGCGUUCGUGCAUGUUUCUCUCAACGAACAUGCGGAAGAGGGCUGAUGAAGUGUCACGAGAGAGAGGGCGAGCGAGCGAGCGAAGAUGAGGUGGAUGAUGCUGGACGAAGGAGAAAAGAGAAGAGAGCCGCCGCCAGCACACCGAAUGGGCUUGCGUUUUGUAUGCCACGACGACUGCCGUUGGUUUUCGCUGCUGCUCCUGAUGUCCCUCCCCCCAAAACACACACCGACUCGCUUUCUGUCUCUUGCUGUACCAGCAACUUGACGUCGCUCCUCUCUCCCUCUAUCGCCACUAUUGGCUACCUUUUUUCUUUGUUCGGCUUGCGUUCCCGGUGGUUGAAGCCGACAGUGUGGCCUUCACUCCCUCACGCGCGCGCGCACACACACACACGCAGCUCUCUCGCACUUUUACUUUCCUUUUGCCUUCG